RNAcentral lists this ribosomal RNA (589 nucleotides) under Lodderomyces parapsilosis. Its description in RNAcentral is "Candida parapsilosis partial large subunit ribosomal RNA". It matches the Rfam family "Eukaryotic large subunit ribosomal RNA", at positions 68 to 672 of the family's 3401-position model. The record is from RNAcentral. Lineage: Eukaryota; Fungi; Ascomycota; Pichiomycetes; Serinales; Debaryomycetaceae.
ACGGGGCAUUGCUUAGUAGCGGCGAGUGAAGCGGCAAAAGCUCAAAUUUGAAAUCUGGCACUUUCAGUGUCCGAGUUGUAAUUUGAAGAAGGUAUCUUUGGGUCUGGCUCUUGUCUAUGUUUCUUGGAACAGAACGUCACAGAGGGUGAGAAUCCCGUGCGAUGAGAUGUCCCAGACCUAUGUAAAGUUCCUUCGAAGAGUCGAGUUGUUUGGGAAUGCAGCUCUAAGUGGGUGGUAAAUUCCAUCUAAAGCUAAAUAUUGGCGAGAGACCGAUAGCGAACAAGUACAGUGAUGGAAAGAUGAAAAGAACUUUGAAAAGAGAGUGAAAAAGUACGUGAAAUUGUUGAAAGGGAAGGGCUUGAGAUCAGACUUGGUAUUUUGUAUGUUACUCUCUCGGGGGUGGCCUCUACAGUUUACCGGGCCAGCAUCAGUUUGAGCGGUAGGAUAAGUGCAAAGAAAUGUGGCACUGCUUCGGUAGUGUGUUAUAGUCUUUGUCGAUACUGCCAGCUUAGACUGAGGACUGCGGCUUCGGCCUAGGAUGUUGGCAUAAUGAUCUUAAGUCGCCCGUCUUGAAAMMMCGGAACACAAA